UAGGUAGCGGUUCCUAUCUUU
Molecule: non-coding RNA, 21 nt
Filed under: Caenorhabditis elegans
Lineage: Eukaryota; Metazoa; Nematoda; Chromadorea; Rhabditida; Rhabditidae
Source: RNAcentral